Molecule: long non-coding RNA, 1368 nt
Organism: Micropterus dolomieu (smallmouth bass)
Lineage: Eukaryota; Metazoa; Chordata; Actinopteri; Centrarchiformes; Centrarchidae
Exons: 2
Source: RefSeq, a predicted model, not a curated record
CGCAGGUCUCACAGAGGAAGGACUUGUCCUGGACCGCAGAGUCCGGGAAGGCCCACUGCACGGUCUCUGGGGUGGUGAAGGUAAACACCGCCCUCCGGUUAAAGCUGCGGCCCUGCCGCUCGAACUCGGACUUGCAGCAGGAGCAGUUCCUGUCCUCCGGCCGCCCGGUACGCCGGCGUCCACGUCGCUGUACACCGGGGGAGGCAGUACUGACAAAUUUAGGGGCUGCUGUCUUCUGGGAGUCCUCUUCGGUUAGCAGCGGCGGCGUAGCGGACGCUUCCACAUCAUUUCCAACGGGGCAGUCCACCUCCGCACCCAAGGCCGGUUCGGGAAGUUCUACCGGCGCGCUCUGCUCGGGCUCAGCCGGUACAUUAAAGCUGUCCUGCACGGGGAAUCCGCCGUCAGUCCCCGGAGUACCGGAGGAGGAGGACGCCUCCGUGGAAGUAACGUGACAGUUACUGGCCGAGGAGUGAGCAUAGUCGUGCUCGGACGGGGGGCAUGUUUCCUCCUCGUUCACCGCGUUGGUCUCGGUGUUUUCACUCGCCAUAGUGCGCGGAGGGGCUCCGGUUUUUGUCUUUUAGUCGAAAUACGCAGAAAGAAAUACUCUAUCGGCGAUCAUCGCUCUUCGCGGAGCAGAAAGCUAAUAACAGUACGAGCUAACACCGGAGCCCGCCACAACAAAGUCCGGGACUUCCAGACAUAUGUUUCAGAGUUAAACUCUCCAGGACGCUUUAAGGGACGUGUGCAGCAACGUUUUUAAAUAUUAGAAAGCGGCAGAGACCAAAUAAAGACAGUUGUUGAAGUAGGAACUGUUCCAGAGCAGAUGGAAAUCACAAGAGUUGUAACCACUAACCAACAGGAUGUAGCCGUUGAUAUACACAAUAGUUUCCGUGUUUCUGUUGACCGGCAGGCUGCUGCUUCUGCUGCUGCUGGUGGUGGUGGCGCCCCCAGGCGGUGGGAGGCAGACACGACACGUCUCUCCUUUAUACAGGACAGGCAGAUGCAGCCGCUGAAGAGUUGUUUCAAGUCCAGGCUGGGCGCUUGGCUCUCUCUCUGGUCCACCUUCCAGUCAUGACAGCAGCAGACUGACAGAGACUGCUACCAAUUUGAAUUCUUUUGAUUGUUGUUUUUUUCUUAUAUUUCUGAUGGGACUGGUAGUUCAGUUUUCAUGGCUUUAUUUCUGUUUGUUUAGUUUAGGGAUUGGUUUAGGGUAGAGGGGAAGCCUCCAGAUCCUAUGGCCCUUUGUGGGCUGGUCUGGAGGGCUUCCCUUCUUUUGUUUGUUUUGGCCAGCCCACCAGACUUAAUAUUUAGCUUGAGUUAAAUUUUGACUUCUUUUAUGGUUUAUUUAAUAAACUUGUGUUUUUUUUG